RNAcentral lists this transfer RNA (74 nucleotides) under Thermoproteota archaeon. RNAcentral's name for it is "Crenarchaeota archaeon (hot springs metagenome) tRNA-Gln". It matches the Rfam family "tRNA". From Rfam's summary of the family: Transfer RNA (tRNA) molecules are approximately 80 nucleotides in length. Their secondary structure includes four short double-helical elements and three loops (D, anti-codon, and T loops). Further hydrogen bonds mediate the characteristic L-shaped molecular structure. tRNAs have two regions of fundamental functional importance: the anti-codon, which is responsible for specific mRNA codon recognition, and the 3' end, to which the tRNAs corresponding amino acid is attached (by aminoacyl-tRNA synthetases). tRNAs cope with the degeneracy of the genetic code in two manners: having more than one tRNA (with a specific anti-codon) for a particular amino acid; and 'wobble' base-pairing, i.e. permitting non-standard base-pairing at the 3rd anti-codon position. Lineage: Archaea; Thermoproteati; Thermoproteota. The record is from RNAcentral.
AGCGCCGUGGUGUAGCUGGCCAAGCAUGCAGGGCUUUGGACCCUGAGACCCAGGUUCGAAUCCUGGCGGCGCUA